CCCUUAGAUGUCCGGGGCCGCACGCGCGCUACACUGAAGGAAUCAGCGUGGCUUUCUCCCUGACCCGAAAGGGUUGGGAAACCCGUUGAAUCUCCUUCGUGAUAGGGAUUGGGGCUUGAAAUUGUUCCCCAUGAACGAGGAAUUCCCAGUAAGCGCGAGUCAUAAGCUCGCGUUGAUUACGUCCCUGCCCUUUGUACACACCGCCCGUCGCUACUACCGAUUGAACGGUUUAGUGAGGGCCUCGGAUUGGUCUCGGCCCACUCUUCACCGGGCGGCGCCGUUGGUCGAGAAGACGCUCGAACUUGAUCGUUUAGAGGAAGUAAAAGUCGUAACA
Molecule: ribosomal RNA, 334 nt
Filed under: uncultured eukaryote
Lineage: Eukaryota
Description: partial 18S ribosomal RNA
Rfam family: Eukaryotic small subunit ribosomal RNA
Source: RNAcentral